GUCCCUCAGCGUUGGGUCAGGGUCCGCCCACGCUCCUAUUGACCUAUUGCGCAUGAGACCUCCCCAUAGGAAAGCAUUGAAAAAGGCUUUCAAUGCUUUCCUAUGGGGAUUUCGGCGAUGCUGGAGGUCCUCACAUACUGUGAGGAUGUCCAGCGACGCUAUAGCACACUUUUCGUGUGCUAUAAUCACGAAAGUGCCCUCUAGUUUUAUGAAAACUGCAAUAACUACACUUGAAGGGUUAAGGGUAGUGGAAGUUGACACCCAGACCACUCCAAUGGGCAGAAGUGGUCUGGGUGCCUGGAGUGUCCCUUUAAUGCUGCAUACUGCUAGUUAGGGGUUAAAGGUAAAAAAGGUAUAUAGUGUG
This is a non-coding RNA of Pelobates cultripes (western spadefoot toad), 364 nucleotides long. Lineage: Eukaryota; Metazoa; Chordata; Amphibia; Anura; Pelobatidae. The record is from the annotation of a GenBank genome assembly.